RNAcentral lists this ribosomal RNA (449 nucleotides) under uncultured Anaerolineaceae bacterium. RNAcentral's name for it is "bacterial SSU rRNA". It matches the Rfam family "Bacterial small subunit ribosomal RNA", at positions 919 to 1382 of the family's 1533-position model. The record is from RNAcentral. Lineage: Bacteria; Bacillati; Chloroflexota; Anaerolineae; Anaerolineales; Anaerolineaceae.
ACCCGCACGAGCAGCGGAGCGUGUGGUUUAAUUCGUUGCUACACGAAGAACCUUACCUGGGUUUGACAUAUAGGUUGUAGGGAACUGAAAAGGGACCGACCCUUCGGGGAGCCUAUACAGGUGUUGCAUGGCUGUCGUCAGCUCGUGUCGUGAGAUGUUCGGUUAAGUCCGCUAACGAGCGCAACCCUCGUCGUAUGUUAUAUGUGUCAUACGAGACUGCCGGUAAAAGCCGGAGGAAGGUGAGGAUGAUGUCAAGUCAGCAUGACCUUUAUAUCCAGGGCUACACACACGCUACAAUGGUCUGUACAAUGGGUAGCCAAGCCGCGAGGCGGAGCCAAUCCUGAAAGCAGGCCUCAGUUCAGAUUGCAGUCUGCAACUCGACUGCAUGAAGCCGGAGUUGCUAGUAACCGCAGGUCAGCAAUACUGCGGUGAAUACGUUCCCGGGUCUU